GGGUAUGGCGGCGUGCCUAUACAUGCAAGUCGAGCGAACAGACGAGGAGCUUGCUCCUUUGACGUUAGCGGCGGACGGGUGAGUAACACGUAGGUAACCUACCUAUAAGACUGGGAUAACUUCGGGAAACCGGAGCUAAUACCGGAUAAUAUUUCGAACCGCAUGGUUCGAUAGUGAAAGAUGGCUUUGCUAUCACUUAUAGAUGGACCUGCGCCGUAUUAGCUAGUUGGUAAGGUAACGGCUUACCAAGGCAACGAUACGUAGCCGACCUGAGAGGGUGAUCGGCCACACUGGAACUGAGACACGGUCCAGACUCCUACGGGAGGCAGCAGUAGGGAAUCUUCCGCAAUGGGCGAAAGCCUGACGGAGCAACGCCGCGUGAGUGAUGAAGGUCUUCGGAUCGUAAAACUCUGUUAUUAGGGAAGAACAAACGUGUAAGUAACUGUGCACGUCUUGACGGUACCUAAUCAGAAAGCCACGGCUAACUACGUGCCAGCAGCCGCGGUAAUACGUAGGUGGCAAGCGUUAUCCGGAAUUAUUGGGCGUAAAGCGCGCGUAGGCGGUUUUUUAAGUCUGAUGUGAAAGCCCACGGCUCAACCGUGGAGGGUCAUUGGAAACUGGAAAUCUUGAGUGCAGAAUAG
This 641-nucleotide ribosomal RNA is filed under the name Staphylococcus sp. EA_L_79. RNAcentral describes it as "bacterial SSU rRNA". It matches the Rfam family "Bacterial small subunit ribosomal RNA", at positions 26 to 656 of the family's 1533-position model. Lineage: Bacteria; Bacillati; Bacillota; Bacilli; Caryophanales; Staphylococcaceae. The record is from RNAcentral.